This 573-nucleotide ribosomal RNA is filed under the name Triticum aestivum (bread wheat). Its description in RNAcentral is "partial small subunit ribosomal RNA". Lineage: Eukaryota; Viridiplantae; Streptophyta; Magnoliopsida; Poales; Poaceae. The record is from RNAcentral.
AUGGGGCUGUUGUGCAGCCAUAUACUGAAGGUAAUGGACUUCAUUCGUGUGACAGAAAUCCCAAAGAAGCACAUUCUGAAAAGGUGGACACGAGAUGCGAGAGAUGUGCUUCCAGCCCACCUGAUGCAGUACCAGAGAGACAACGCUCAGGAAAACCCAUUUAGUUUCAGGCAUUUCAAUCUGUACAAGCAAGCCAUGGAGCUUGUACGCAUGGGAGACUCAAGUGUGGCAGCUUACGACCGCUUGACAUCACUAUUCAAUCACUGUGCAGCCGAGAUGAAGCUGUACACGGAUGUCAGAGAUGGCCUAGGUUUGGAGUACAGGUUAGCCGACAAUGGUACUGUUCAGAAAAUGUUACAAUCAGGAGGCGACGUAUGCAAUCCGUUCGAAGCUACACAAGUCGACGACGGAAACGAUGACAGCAACUCGUCUAAUGAGUCUGCAAAUAGGAUCGAUAACCUGCUGGCACCUGCCAGACGGAAGCAAGUUGGGAGGCCGACAAUGAGUAGGGAGAAGGCGCCAUACAAAGGUUUAAGUAAGAGAACUAGGUUCUGCGGGAUAUGUAGGCAGUAG